Molecule: transfer RNA, 69 nt
Filed under: Leontocebus fuscicollis weddelli
Lineage: Eukaryota; Metazoa; Chordata; Mammalia; Primates; Cebidae
Description: tRNA-Pro
Rfam family: tRNA
About the family: Transfer RNA (tRNA) molecules are approximately 80 nucleotides in length.
Source: RNAcentral
CAGGGGAUAGUUUAAUGUUAGAAUUUCAGCUUUGGGUGUUGAUGGUAGAAUUUAGUGUUCUUUCCCUGA